CCUACGGGAGGCAGCAGUGGGGAAUAUUGGGCAAUGGGCGUAAGCCUGACCCAGCAACGCCGCGUGCAGGAAGACGGCUCUCUGGUUGUUAACCUCCUUUGUUAGGGAAGAGUAGUAGACGGUACCUGACGAAUAAGCCAUGGCUAAUUACGUGCCAGUAGCCGUGGGAAUACGUAGGUUGCAGGCGUUGUCCGGAUUUACUGGGUUUAAAGGGUGUGUAGCCGGGUUGACAAGUCAGAUGUGAAAUCCUGCGGCUUAACCGCAGAACUGCGUUGGAAACUGGUUAUCUUGAGUACUGGGGAGGCAGACGGAAUUCGUGGUGUAGCGGUGAAAUGCGUAGAUAUUAGGAAGAACACCGGUGGCGAAGGCAGUAUGCUGGACAGCAACUGACGGUGAGGCGCGAAGGCGUGGGGAGCGAACAGGAUUAGAUACCCCGGUAGUC
Molecule: ribosomal RNA, 442 nt
Filed under: uncultured bacterium
Lineage: Bacteria
Description: partial 16S ribosomal RNA
Rfam family: Bacterial small subunit ribosomal RNA
Source: RNAcentral